This is a long non-coding RNA of Mus musculus (house mouse), 1620 nucleotides long. RefSeq annotates it as predicted gene, 53412. Lineage: Eukaryota; Metazoa; Chordata; Mammalia; Rodentia; Muridae. The record is from RefSeq and is a predicted model, not a curated record. The transcript has 4 exons.
CACAGAGUACGGGGGAUGGCAGACACGUGGUUUCUUGCCUCUGCGAAUCUCCACAGCCCAAGGAAGGAGAUUCGACCAGCAGACCCUGGAGCCAGCCGAGCACUGGGGCAGCUGCCAGAACGUGUAGGAGGCGAUCAGAGUGAGGCUAGAACCAGCUACCCACCAAGAUCCACACAGAUGAGGCCACGAAGAGCUCUGCAUUGUCGGAAUGCACAGCAGGGACAGACGGGCAGCUGCUCAGCUAUGGGAAGGCAGGGACCUCACCAUGGUCUCUCCAUCAGGAAGUGCUGGUCUAGAAGUUUGGUAUUUUGCUACACCUACAAGACAAGCAACAAGGACCAAGCUGAGAAAAAAGCCUCACUUCUGGAGCCCUAGCAAAGGAGAAGCUGAGGCAAGAGGCCAGCAUUUACCCAAAGCCCUGCCGAUGGCCAGUCAGAGGUGGCAAGCCCCAGCCUGGCACCCUGAGUUCACUUGGCACUGGUUUUAACAUGUUGGAGGCUAAGGCUGCGAGGUGGACGUGGCCCACAGCCUGCCUGGAAAUACUCCUAGCCCCAUGGGGAGUGAAGUCAAAUUGGAGGAAUACCAAGCACCCUGGGAUUCUGCCUGGAGUGUGUGCUUUCUUUGGGGAUACAGCAGGAAAUGCUCUUGGAUUGGGUCAAGAAAGAAGUGUUUUGCUUGGAAGAGAAGGUAGGACAACAUUGGAACAGAAAACAAGAAUAAGAUGCAAGGCUCAGUGGCAGGGAUUUUGCCCAGAGUCUGUGAGAGGCAGUAGAAUGUCUGGUGGGAGAGCAUUGCUGUUGCAAACAUAGGGUUUGAAUCCUGGCUUCAUGUCUCAGGACUGUGGACCUUUGCAAGCACGCCAACAGCCUGGCCAUUCCUUCUCUGUGAAAUAGAGAGAAGAUUGGUUCUCGCCAUUAAAGGCUUUCAGGUGAAAUACAAUGAAUCUAAAUAACAGGUGUGGAGCGAGGUGAGCAUGUGGUCAUUUGGCCUGCCAUAUACACACAACACAGCUGGGCUCAGGAGGACGGUCCUGUGGCCACAACUGGGUCUGGACUCUUGAUUCAUGUACUGCUGUAGUUGGCUCCAAACAACCUUCUCCCCAACCUCAGCCAGUGUGAAAGACUCCAAAGAGUGAGGAGAUGGAAGGUUUAAGGGGAGCUAAUAGAUGUUCUGAGGAAUUCCAGUGACAAGGACAGAGUCAUUCUCCUAGGAGGGAGAACAUGGGUGCGGGGUGAGGCGCUACUACACAUGGAGCAGAGUGAUCCUUCUUGCCCUACAGAACCACCCAUGCCCUACAGAGACCUCCAUACCCUACAAACCUCCCAUAUAUUACAGAGCCCCCAUACCCUCCAGAGUCCCUCCCAUGCCUUACAGAGGGGCCCCAUCCCCUACAGAGGCUUCCCCAUACCAUACAGAGGCCCUCCAUUCCCUACAAGGCUUCAAAAGGACAGGACAGUUGGAGAAGGAGGCACAGAUUUAUGACCCAGGAAGAAUUCUGCUGGAGCCUCCAAGGAAGCAACAGGAAAUGCUCUGACAUGGCUGGGGUGGAAUGAGGAUUUGCGGGUAGCCAUAAACACACAUAAAUAAUAAUGAUAAAAUGACUGGAAAUACAAUUUUAAU